ACCCAGGUUCCCUCUGGCCGCA
RNAcentral lists this microRNA (22 nucleotides) under Homo sapiens (human). RNAcentral describes it as "hsa-miR-4726-3p". Lineage: Eukaryota; Metazoa; Chordata; Mammalia; Primates; Hominidae. The record is from miRBase by way of RNAcentral.